RNAcentral lists this small nuclear RNA (104 nucleotides) under Cucumis sativus (cucumber). The record is from RNAcentral. Lineage: Eukaryota; Viridiplantae; Streptophyta; Magnoliopsida; Cucurbitales; Cucurbitaceae.
GUUGCCUCUUUGGGACAUCCGAUAAAAUCGGAAUGAUACAGAGAAAUUAUCAAGGCCCCUGUGCAAGGAUGGCCUUAUAUAGUUCUAUGUUAGAUCAGACUUAU